UGUAGAUUAACCAAAGCCACUUGCUUACACCAAGUAAAUGUCUGUUCAACCCAGACCAUUUUGA
Molecule: transfer RNA, 64 nt
Filed under: Hylarana cf. taipehensis MS-2009
Lineage: Eukaryota; Metazoa; Chordata; Amphibia; Anura; Ranidae
Description: partial tRNA-Val
Source: RNAcentral